Non-coding RNA from Miniopterus natalensis, 346 nucleotides. NCBI's taxonomy places the organism in Eukaryota, Metazoa, Chordata, Mammalia, Chiroptera, Miniopteridae. The record is from RefSeq and is a predicted model, not a curated record.
AGAAGAGGCUGUGCUCUGGGCUCCGGCUCCUCAGAGAGCCUCGGCUAGAAGUGGAUGGAAAUGUACUAUGACACAGUGGACCAGUUCUUCCUCAGGCUGGUAACAUUAUGAAAUCCCUGAUGAAAUGCAAACUGGAUUGGUGGAAAUCGGAUUCCCAUAUCCUCUCAUUUUUCAAGAUGAGGAAAUCGAGGCCCAGAGAGGUUAAAUGACGUGCUGAAGUUCCCACAGCUGAGCAGAGAUUGAAGGACAGGAUUAUUCACUGAGCCGGCCAAGGAUACUUCAGUUGGUAGCAACAUGGAGAAUGUCACAAAAGAUGUCAACUCUUAUUAGUCAUCUUAGGAGGGUU